Molecule: ribosomal RNA, 496 nt
Filed under: uncultured bacterium
Lineage: Bacteria
Description: partial 16S ribosomal RNA
Rfam family: Bacterial small subunit ribosomal RNA
Source: RNAcentral
AUUGAACGCUGGCGGAAUGCUUUACACAUGCAAGUCGAACGGUAGAGGGGGCAACCCCUCGAGAGUGGCGAACGGGUGAGUAAUAUAUCGGAACGUGCCCAGUCGUGGGGGAUAACGUAGCGAAAGUUACGCUAAUACCGCAUACAAUCUAAGGAUGAAAGCGGGGGAUCGCAAGACCUCGCGCGAUUGGAGCGGCCGAUAUCAGAUUAGGUAGUUGGUGGGGUAAAGGCUCACCAAGCCAACGAUCGGUAGCUGGUCUGAGAGGACGACCAGCCACACUUGACCUGAGACACGGUCCAGACUCCUACGGGAGGCAGCAGUGGGGAAUUUUGGACAAUGGACGCAAGUCUGAUCCAGCCAUUCCGCGUGCAGGAUGAAGGCCCUCGGGUUGUAAACUGCUUUUGUACGGAACGAAAAGGUCUCUCUUAAUACGGGGGACUCAUGACGGUACCGUAAGAAUAAGCACCGGCUAACUACGUGCCAGCCGCCGCAGUAA